Molecule: long non-coding RNA, 519 nt
Filed under: Crocodylus porosus (Australian saltwater crocodile)
Lineage: Eukaryota; Metazoa; Chordata; Crocodylia; Crocodylidae
Description: lncRNA (ENSCPRG00005010903.1)
Source: RNAcentral
UUUUGUGCUUGUUUGCUGUUUGUAUUUAAUCAUGUUUUGGCAUUUUGAGGAAAUCACUGGUUUGGGGGCAGAUGCAGAAUUUUAAUACUGUACAGAGGCCUUUGGGUCCCCCUUCCCCCCAGCCCAAAAGAUCCCAUGUUUCUAACUGUACCUCAUUUUAAGUAUAUAGCACUGACAUGGUACCAGUGACACUGCAGAUGUUUUCUGUGCUAGAAGAAAGACCUCUCUACUCAGCUGCACACUGCAAGAAAAGCUUGAGUUAAUGGUUGGCAUUUCAGGAGAUCUGGGCAGUUGUCAAACUGAUUCUUUUGGACCAAGAGGGAAAACAUUCUAAAGAUUUCUUCUGCCAGCUCAAAACUUUUCAGUGAGAUGCAAGUUACAGCCUACAGAAAUAUUACGUAUGGGCAAAGUAUAUGUCAGCAGGACUACCCAAGUAGGCAUGUGGAAAGUGACACACAUGAGGAUUUGAACUAGGUUAUUGUCCCGGGACCCGAGGAAGCCAGGAAGACUUACCAGGAG